This 659-nucleotide ribosomal RNA is filed under the name uncultured bacterium. RNAcentral describes it as "bacterial SSU rRNA". It matches the Rfam family "Bacterial small subunit ribosomal RNA", at positions 301 to 980 of the family's 1533-position model. The record is from RNAcentral.
UGACCAGCCACACUGGGACUGAGACACGGCCCACACUCCUACGGGAGGCAGCAGUGGGGAAUCUUGCGCAAUGGGCGAAAGCCUGACGCAGCCAUGCCGCGUGAAUGAUGAAGGUCUUAGGAUUGUAAAAUUCUUUCACCGGGGACGAUAAUGACGGUACCCGGAUAAGAAGCCCCGGCUAACUUCGUGCCAGCAGCCGCGGUAAUACCAAGGGGGCUAGCGUUGCUCGGAAUUACUGGGCGUAAAGGGCGCGUAGGCGGAUCGUUAAGUCAUAGGUGAAAUCCCAGGGCUCAACCCUGGAACUGCCUUUGAUACUGGCGAUCUUGAGUACGAGAGAGGUAUGUGGAACUCCGAGUGUAGAGGUGAAAUUCGUAGAUAUUCGGAAGAACACCAGUGGCGAAGGCGACAUACUGGCUCAUUACUGACGCUGAGGCGCGAAAGCGUGGGGAGCAAACAGGAUUAGAUACCCUGGUAGUCCACGCCGUAAACGAUGAUUGCUAGUUGUCGGGCUGCAUGCAGGUCGGUGACGCAGCUAACGCAUUAAGCAAUCCGCCUGGGGAGUACGGUCGCAAGAUUAAACUCAAAGGAAUUGACGGGGGCCCGCACAAGCGGUGGAGCAUGUGAUUUAAUUCGAAGCAACGCGCAGACCUUACCACCUU